RNAcentral lists this ribosomal RNA (497 nucleotides) under uncultured bacterium. RNAcentral describes it as "partial 16S ribosomal RNA". It matches the Rfam family "Bacterial small subunit ribosomal RNA", at positions 28 to 507 of the family's 1533-position model. The record is from RNAcentral.
GAUGAACGCUGGCGGCGUGCCUAAUACAUGCAAGUCGAGCGAACGGACGAGAAGCUUGCUUCUCUGAUGUUAGCGGCGGACGGGUGAGUAACACGUGGAUAACCUACCUAUAAGACUGGGAUAACUUCGGGAAACCGGAGCUAAUACCGGAUGAUAUUUUGAACCGCAUGGUUCAAAAGUGAAAGACGGUCUUGCUGUCACUUAUAGAUGGAUCCGCGCUGCAUUAGCUAGUUGGUAAGGUAACGGCUUACCAAGGCAACGAUGCAUAGCCGACCUGAGAGGGUGAUCGGCCACACUGGAACUGAGACACGGUCCAGACUCCUACGGGAGGCAGCAGUAGGGAAUAUUCCGCAAUGGGCGAAAGCCUGACGGAGCAAAGCCGCGUGAGUGAUGAAGGUCUUCGGAUCGUAAAACUCUGUUAUUAGGGAAGAACAUAUGUGUAAGUAACUGUGCACAUCUUGACGGUACCUAAUCAGAAAGCCACGGCUAACUACGUG